This 7091-nucleotide long non-coding RNA is filed under the name Olea europaea (common olive). RNAcentral describes it as "long non-coding RNA (OEUR_LNC004753)". The record is from RNAcentral. Lineage: Eukaryota; Viridiplantae; Streptophyta; Magnoliopsida; Lamiales; Oleaceae.
UUUUCAGGAUCACGAUUCAUUGAAAUACACUCUUUAAGGAAUUCCUCCUUGAUGAGUCCAUCACUUGUGUAUGCAAACUCACCGCCAGUUUCAUGUGAACAUGCACAAGGCAAGGAUAAUGAUAGACAAUCACCAGAACAGGUUGAACAACAAUUAUUAUCUCCUAUACGAGCUAGAGAAAAAUUUACAUAUGCAUUUUGGAAAACAGCAUUUUUGGGUAUGUAGAAGAAAGAUGGCGGAGACUUGUCAUUAAAUUCAUUCACCAGGGUAAUUACUACUCUUUCUUGUCCCUUGGCUAUAUCAACAACGUCAUGGAGUGAACUUAUCCUUUCAGGUGUCAAUUGACGCUCCUGGCUAACCACAACAUGCUGGAAGUUUGUGUCUUCAAGAUCAUUCUCUUUAUUUUCUUCAUCUGUUACACAGAAAUUUUCACUGGCCUUCUUGUUAAGCUGCAUGCCGUCAUCCACACCAUCACAAGAUGGAGGAAGUUUUGGUUCUUGGAGCAGAGCUACCUCCUCAUCAAACUGAGAACCGACUGAUCCAUUCAAAGAAUGAAAGCGCGUGCCUUUAGCACCUAAAGCAUCUGUUAAAAAGAUUUUUUGAAUGAAUCAAUAAUGAGUUUCACAUUUAUGGUUUCUGGAGUUAAGAGGAUUCAGUUCAAAAUUUAUUUCAUAAGUUUCAUCAAGGAAAAGUUCAUAUCAUAAGUUUUGUAUGAUCUGAGACAUUUAUCCUCCAAAAUUUUAGUGCUGCAUCAAGACUAGGCAUAUGGAAGUCAGGCCUUCCAAAAGUCAAGUUGCAGAUCAUAAAUUUUCACCUCUCCAAAAGGUGAGGAAGCAAUCUCAAGGUUUAAACAAGAUUCACCUGAAACCAUUGCCGGGUUGCCAUUGUUUCUCGUUUCAUUUGAAAUGGGAACCCCAUCAGCUGUGCCUUUUUCACCCAUAAACUGUAACAGAUCAGGACCAUUAUUUUCUCUGAUCGAACCAUUUCCACUAGAUGACUCUCCUUUACUUGAUGGAUCUGAAAAUGAUGAACUCACAAAAACUCAGCUAUAUUUCCUAUGAAUAAAUAAAGGCAAAUGCAGAAGGUAAACCUUAAAUUGAAUAUGUCAGACAUAUGCCAAAUAUGUUGGUAGUUCAAAUAAGUCACAAUCUGGGACCUCAAUUGAAUAACCCACAAAUGGGGCAGCAAAUACUUCUCUCAACAGUCAACAUCCAAUACAUGAAAAUCAAUCAAUUACAUUAGAAAGUCAUAACAAUCAAGUACAUUAGAAAGACAUAAUCAAUAUGCUUCCAUUUUGACAAAUAUUUCAAAGUAAAUCACCUCAUCCUAUUGAACGAGGUCAAAAAUACCAGAGGUCUUGAACUUUCAAAAAAAACCUAAAAACUUUACAGAAACCAGCAAACACCAGGACCAGGUAUUUCCAGAAGCCAAAUGGGCAGAUGAUUCCAACGAUUCAAGUGAAGUGGAGGACCAAUUAUGUGGACAAAAACUAGAUGGGUACCAAUAAAGAAUAGAUAAGCAGAAGCAAAGCUCACAUAAACUUACAAAAGUAACUUUUGUCAAAAUGAUAGUAACUUUCAGUCAGGAUGGAUAACAUAUACCUGGCUGGGUGACUGCAGAAGGAACCUCAAGCUUCGACACAUCAUAGGUGACAGGCUCUUCUUUAACUAAAACAUGACCGGUAGUGGUCUUCUGUUUGGGUAACCCGGCAAUGCUGGGCUGAAGGUUUGGCUCUUUAUGGCAUCCAGCAAGAGAUGACCUCUUCUCCCCAGAAGGAAUUUGUGGUGAGAGAGUUCCCUUUCCUCUGUCUCUCAGGCGCAUUGGAUGAGAAACUGAAUUGGAUUCAGUUCUCAAACUGGUCUUUUGCUGACUUUUAUUGACAGCACUAGGCUGAGAGGGAUCGCUCCUCUCCUGUGACUCAGCCCUCAAUUUUUUAGUAUUGGGCUGAGGUGAAUCUGCUUUGUCUUGUGCAAUUCAAACCAGCCAUUCAAAAGCCAACAAAAAAAUGCAGAAGACUAGGCAUAAGAAACAAUCUACACAAAGUGGUUCAAGUGUGCUCCAACAGAACAAUCGGAAACAGAAUUGUGUACAUGCUGGCAGAGGAAAAUUACAUUCCAAAUCCUUUACUUCCAACUUACAGAAUGGGAAAGCACUCAGUGGAGAUUCCUCUUCAGUAAGGCAUAGGUUAAUUUAAGAAGGGGGAAAUGUAGAGGAUUUGGAGAAAAUUGAAGCACAAGAAUAAAAGCAAUUUCCUUUCGAGACCCUUGUUGCAGCAACCCAAAAAUUUAAUUAUACUCGAAAGCUUAGUGAAGGAGGCAUUGGUCUUGUUUAUAAGGUAAAAUUUAACUUGUGGGCAUUUGAAUUUUUCCCAAUAAAAGAAAAAAGAAGGAUAGAAGUUUUCCCCAUCUCUAAAAGGGUUCUACUUGAAGGAAUCUUUUAGCUACUACGGUGCUACUGUUGGGAACAUUGAUCCAUCAACACUUGGUGCAUUUUCCUUCGGUCAGCUUGUCAUAGAAGGAUGUUAGCAGAAUCAGAAGAACUAGAAGCUCGGAACUCUACUUUGGGAAAUGGUCCCGCCAAUGCUAUACUGGGCACUAUAGAAGCUACAAAGACUGAGAAAGGGCCCUUACCCUCCCUAACCUUAUUAUAGACUUCCGAAAAAUCCGAAUAUAUGAGGAUUCCCUCACCUUAUAAGUUCAACAAAUCAUCGAAAUGCUCUCUCUGAAGAUUCAACAAGCUAUUAGCUAUGCAAGGGUUUCUUAGAGUAGAUAGCUCUAUCUAUCAUAGUGAAAUAGAUUGAAAGAAAUCUUCCUUUUUCCCCCCUUGGCUUCAUUACUCUGCUUGUUGCCAGCACUAUUCACUAUUAUUAAGAAAGAGCAGAAGUGGUCUUCUUUUACAGCAUAUUUAAACUUAAACGAGGUGACAGUGAAUCAUGCCUAUAAGUGAAAUACUUACUACUUGGACGCUUUACGCUGCGGCAGAACCGGCUGCCACAUUGACAGCGAAAUGCCUUAACGGGAUGAUCGUGGUCAUCAAAAUCAAUACCAUAAUCCUGCGAGGAUAACAUUGAGACGUUUUAACAAAGAGCAUAUUCAGAUACAUAAAUUUAUGCUAUGUGUAGCCAUCAAAUUGUUAUUUAAUUUUAAGAGCACGUGAUUGAACAUACACAUAGAUAAAAGAGAGUGAACAAAGCAGUUAACUGCACAUAUAGUACACAUUUGAUUUUAUUACACAUAGUAACAAUCAUAGACAUAAAAAUGGCGAACAAAAGGGCAGAAGUGAGAACAUUUACUUAGAAUUCAAAAUCUUAUGUUGCUGAAUUUUCAGACAUAUGAUAACCCUUUAAGUUAGAGAUUAGUCUAUACUCUAGGAAUUUUCCUACUGCAUUUAUUCCAGCAGGAAUAUUGUUCUUAUGUUAAACAAGCAGCCCUAGACACAGAAUAGCCUAUUUUGUGAAGGUCUCUUAGUUUUGGCCUGAUGCAGGUCAACCAAUUUUUUGUACUUCUUUACUUACCUAUCAAUACACAUUUAAAAUAUCACAUGUACCGUGGGUCACCCUUGCCAACAGUGGUUAUGGUCAUGGCCCAAGACCUUCCUUAUUUUAUUGAGUGAGAGGAAGGGGACAGUUGAGUGGCCAGUUCACUAGCUAGUUCAGUCGAGUUAUAAUGACUCGUACAGAUGAAAUCAAACUCAGAUGUGGAACAUUGAAUUCAUCAUCAACCCUUUUUCAUUUAUAUAGCCCGUGCCUACGUUAUAAUGCUCCUAUUUCCUUUGGAAUUGUACAAAUUAUGUCCUCCUACGAGAAAUAAUUAUUCACUCCCCAAAAAUGCCCUGAAGUACAUAAACAAGGAUACUUGUUCCUUAGAUGUGAGGGUAAAAGUGAAAAGUUACAUCAACCAUCCACUUUUAUCAACUAUUUUAUAAAACUCUGUGCCAUUUCAAAUCACUUCAUUGAGUUAUGGAUGAAGGAUUAAUAUUUAAUAUGGUGUGGCUUCAGCAAAGGUAAACAAUAAAAGGUGGGAGCCAAUGAACAAUCUAACACGUUCAAAACUCAUUUCAAAAAACUAUUACAUGCACAAUUCAAUUUAUUAAGACAAACAGUCGUGCAACCAAGAUGUAACCAGAUACCACCACAUAGAAUCUAACUACAAUGUCCAGACAAGAAAAUUUAAGGAUGCAGCCAUAUCAAACCAUACGCUAAACUGCAGCUACCAUCCCCACGUGUAUGGUCUUUCGCACUUUUAACCUCAUCUUUUGUUCUUGGUAUCAAGCUCCUGGAUCUUUUAGCCUCAUUUUCUCAGUUUUCUAAAGUCCACCCAAUGGAAACAAAUUCUCUUGCUUAGAGGCCUAUAUUCGUACAAAUUAGGUAGGAAAAAGAAUUGGCAAAAGAUCAACUUUAGCAUAAUCCAAAUUCCAAUGUGGAAGCUAUAUUGUGAUUAUUUAAUAAUUAGAGGGUGGGUGUUGACAGAUUCUAUGUUCAGAAAGGGAAGUCUUGGUUUUAAUUCUUAGCAAGUCUGUAGUUAUUUUGCAUGAGAUAGCACAAAAUCAGCAGCAGCAGAUUAGUAAGAGGUUACCCUUCCUGGGUGUAGGUGUACGAGUUAUUCAAAAUAAGAUAAAGGAAAAAAAAAAAUUAAUGAAUGCAAGCAUAUAACUUAACAAAACAACAAACUAAGCCUUAUUCUUAUAAAAUUUAGGAUCAGCUACACAUGCUUUUUCACUACUCCUUGCAGUCCAUCUCCACAUCCAUGGGAAGAUCUAAGGCAAUCAGAAUGCUUUUAACUCCGGUAUACCAGGUAAAUUUUUGUCUAACUCUCCCUUUCUAAAAUAUUCUAUUAGGAUCUCAUCACUCUUGUGAAAGGGAGUUUCUUUAGGUGACAUCCUCCAACCACCUAACUCAUCCUACUCUCAAUUUAUCCUCAAUGGGUGCCUUCAUCUGUUCCCAAAAAACCAACUAAAAUAUUACUAGUAGGAUAGAUGGUUUCCAACUAGCAAUGAAGAGGUUGAAAUUUGCUUAAGCUUACACUGCAUUUUCAUUCAAACGGAUUUAUGACAUUUUCGAGACACUAAGACUCCUUUAUCAAUGACAUAGUGCUCCCUCAAAAUGAAACCAAUUUCAGUAAAAUAUGAUCUAGAUGAAAAACGCCCACCAAUAUUAUUGCCACAUUUUCACAGUUCCAAAUCGACCAUAUUCUAGCUCCUCGAAAUCAUAAAGCAAGUGAUUUUCCCAUUAAUUGUUCACAAUAGUCGAAUAUACAUUACUAAGAACAGUAGACAUCUAUACCUCCCUAGAACAACAAAAAGCACGUUUAUACAUAACGUAUUUCAAUGAAAUAAAUCCUACUUACCCAAGUGAGUUCUUCCAUAGCUUUUACCUUUCUUGUAGUGAAGAAGGCAAGCUGCAUUAAGAGAUGCAAAAUUCAAUAAAACUGUGGACACAAAUGAUUAACAGCAGUCGCCAUGGAAAACGGAAAAGGUUAACCAUUAUGGAUAGGAUUUCAUACAUGGUAAUAGUGGUGAUCAGGUGUCUCCACUUCCACAGGUAUCUCCACCAUGUUUGAAUCGAAACACCUAGCAGGAUAUAAAAAUGGCUAUUAAGAAAUCUGAAAACGAAAUCAACCAAAGGCUCUGAGAAAGAGAAAUCUCUUCUAUAAAAUUUAAUGCAUUCUACAUUCUGGAGGCAGACGGGAUUGGAGACAAAAGAAUUUGUCUUUGACAAGGAUGUUGACAUAUUUAAGCAAACGCAAUUUUAUGGUUAUAUGUAUGUGCUUCUGCGCACCUGUGGAGGGAGAGAGGGACUCAAUUACAAAAAUGAAAGAGUUCUAGGAAGUCAGCAUUAUAGCCAGGGUUGAAUAGGAUAAUCUAAUAAAUGAAAUAAAAAUGUUUAACCUAAACCUUACCUUCUUCAGUUUCCCCAUCUUAUCUGAACAUUAUCAUAAACAAUGUGAUAAACAGACAGCCUUUCAUUUGUAUUGAUUGUCAAGACCUUAAACAAGGCUCUACUAAGCUCUUCAAUGGAGCAACUUUUGACAACACGAAAGAUUCAUGUUAUGAUCCUUUGCCUUGGUUUGCUCUCUCUCAUUUUUUGAAUAAGCUAGAAACAUAUUACUAACUCGCUAUCACACUAGAGAUUAAGACCAAGAGACAUGGUGACUGAACAGUGAACUUCACGAAAAAGAACAAUAAUUCACAAAAUGAAUGCGUUCUCAAUCAACUGAACUUACCUAUGGUUGAUAAACCUUGCUACGUUACCAUAAUAUGUAGCAUCUAAACAAAGAGCAUCUUCAUCCUUUAAAACAACUUCCGAACACCAAUCAGCAUCAAGGAGCACAGGAUAUGAAUGUUCUUCCCCUUUGGAGCUCCGUACACGAUCAUAUAGCUCCGCAUUUGUUAAAACUUCUCCAACAUAUUCGCAGACAAAGGCACCUUUUGGCAGAUCCUCCAAGGUACGUAAACCCCACCCUUUUCCACCAGGAGUCAUAAACACCUGAAGAAAAAAUUAUAUAAGGAAAAGUUAGUGCAAUCAUGGAAAAACUUAUUAUUAAAGCAUCAACGAGAUCAUAAGACUCGAUAAUCAAGCAAAAAGAACAUGGGGUUGGGUCUAGGUCCAAACAUAGGCAGGAACUCCUACCUGUAAAUUGCGACUUAUUCCCCUUUGUACCACUCGAUUGCCGCACUGUAUAUUACACCCACAUUUCAACCAACAUUCUUUGAUGAACUUCCUCACCAAAUGACCCUUGCAAGAUCCAACGAUAUCUUCAUUUUUUGACCUUUCCAGUGGACAUUCCUUACAGAAGUACUGGCAGUGUUUUUCAGGAUCACGAUUCAUUGAAAUACACUCUUUAAGGAAUUCCUCCUUGAUGAGUCCAUCACUUGUGUAUGCAAACUCACCGCCAGUUUCAUGUGAACAUGCACAAGGCAAGGAUAAUGAUAGACAAUCACCAGAACAGGUUGAACAACAAUUAUUAUCUCCUAUACGAGCUAGAGAAAAAUUUACAUAUGCAUUUUGGAAAACAGCAUUUUUGGGUAUGUAGAAGAAAGAUGGCGGAGACUUGUCAUUAAAUUCAUUCACCAGGGUAAUUACUACUCUUUCU